GAGAUUUGGACUAGUUUGGAUGUGCAGAUAGAAGCCUGGGAAAAAUCCUUGCUGAUUCUGUAGCAAGCUCGACUCUGACUCUAAGGUACUCCAGGACCAAUCGGGGUUCCAGGCCCAGCCGGACCAAAGGGCGAAAGGGGCAGCAAGGGAGACCCAGGGAUGACGGGACCAACAGGAGCAGCUGGGCUGCCUGGUUUACACGGACCACCCGGGGACAAAGGAAACCGGGGGGAGAGGGGGAAGAAGGGCUCUAGAGGGCCUAAAGGGGACAAGGGGGACCAAGGAGCACCUGGACUAGACGCCCCCUGCCCACUGGGAGAAGAUGGCUUACCAGUCCAAGGCUGCUGGAACAAGUGAUGCCUCUAACCUCGGACUGGCCUGUGUGUGUUUGUAUAUAGGAUAUUUAUUUUUAUACAGUUUCACCUUUGGAAAAUGCCCAAACUAUGAUACAUCUUACAGAUCAUUAAAAGAGAAAGAAGAAAAGCCUGCAUAUUUUGUACAGGAAAUAACCCCUUUCCCUUUUGUUUACAAGACAUUUUUUUUUGUAUAAAUCUGUUUCUAAUACACUUUCUGUCUGUGUGUCUGCUCCUAAUGUUGCAUGAUAUUUGUGCACACUUAUUAAAUAUCACAGCUUAAUAAAUUAUUGUGUGAUGGUGCCAAAGGGGCCUUGUCUGCAUAGGGGUGCUGCGAGCUUACGUGUGAAUUCCCAAAAAAUGUGGAGGUCCACGGUGUUUGCCAGACGACAUGUGUCUGACAAUAUUUUAAACUUUAACUGACUUUCAUUAUUAUAAAAAAAAUAAAACGUGGCAAUUUCA
This 815-nucleotide long non-coding RNA is filed under the name Rattus norvegicus (Norway rat). RNAcentral describes it as "long non-coding RNA NONRATT017749". The record is from RNAcentral. Lineage: Eukaryota; Metazoa; Chordata; Mammalia; Rodentia; Muridae.